UCUAGAAUCAAAGGCUAAUCU
This 21-nucleotide microRNA is filed under the name Zea mays. RNAcentral describes it as "miRt13". The record is from RNAcentral. Lineage: Eukaryota; Viridiplantae; Streptophyta; Magnoliopsida; Poales; Poaceae.